CCCGCGCUCUACCAGGCAGAGCGCGUGCGGCCGCCGAGCACAUGGACCCGCUGGUCAAGCGGGCUCGGCAAGGCCAGGAUGAAGAGAAGCUGCGAACUUAGCACUCCCAGAGACCCCCGAGUGGAUAUCCGCGUGGAAAGGAUGUUGGCAGCCCCGGUGACCUCGGAGUCACGGCUGGAUCCACCCUCUUGUCUGAUUUUCUUAACUCGACCACGGUAAGAAGAUGCCCUCCAUCAGCGGGCUGUGCUUGCAGAUGUCGUGGGGCCUCUCUGGAGACUUCCCGAACCCUGUGGAUUUACAGUAAGAUGCAGUUUCCUGGGGAGUAAUUCUGGUGGAUACAAAUUCCGGAGUACUACACCUGGCUUGCCUGGAGAUGUUACAAGUAGUUGGUCGGAUUCUACAGCCUGGAUGCCCACUGAGAACAAGGACUGAAACUGAGAGGACUGUAUCUCUACCCUUGACUCAGUGGGAAUAUUUGCUGUCAUCUCUCGGGUUACCUGGAGCUCCCUCUAAAAUGUAAGCCCCCAAGACCCAUCUCCUUUCAACGCAGUGUUUCUGCAUACCCUUGAAGCGUUCCAGAAGGAUUUUGAGGUCCUUUCCUAAAUCAAAGGUGGAAUAUUUGGGGAUUUGGAAAAUUGAGCUCCUGUCUUAGUGCAUUUGGCCUGCUAUAAGGAAGUGUGACUAGGCUGUGUGGCUGUGGAACAACAGAGGUUGAUUUCCCCUGGUUCUGGAGGCUGAGCAUCCCCGACUGUGUGCCGCCGACGGCAUUAGUGUGUGGCAAGGGCCUGCUUUUUGGCUCAUGGCCCCCUGUCUUCCAGUUCUAACCUGAGGGAUGAGAUGAGAAGCAUUGACUUAAGAGAUGCCAAGUAACUCAGCAGAUGUCACACAGACGAUAAAUAGCAAAGAUGGAAGUCUUCAUGCCGGAGGCAAUCCUAUAAGACAGCUGAGUUCUCCAGAGCUGGUAGGAGACAGACUUGCUCAGGUGAUAGAUCCAGCCAUGAUACUGACCCUAAGAGAAUGAGACACUCUGCAGAAGACUUAGAAGAUUCCUGAGACUGGGAAAGGUGCCUAGAAAUCCUGAGAAGAGUGAAGAAGGGUACCUGGAGGCACAGCAGCCGUGUUGAACCUAUGAGGUGAUGAAAAACCAUGCAACUAGAAACCAGAAUGGAAGAAAAGAAGAAGCUGGAUCCUUGACUGAAUCAUAGAUGGGGGAUAGUCCAUCAUCCCAGGGCUAAGACCACCUCCAGAUUUCUUGUUUGGUGAAACAAUUCCUGAUUGUUUACAUUUCUUUAUGUUGAGCUGUCUCUUACUUGUAGCUGAAAGCAUUUCUAAUAGAUAUUCAGAUUAUCAGCCUUAGCUCCAAGCUAGAAUACUCUAUGGGACCUUAGCUUCUCCAUGAAUUCUUUUGCUCAUCUGUGUAGUGCUCAAUAAAUGUAAAUUGAACCCUGAAUGAGGGACAAUGACA
Molecule: long non-coding RNA, 1465 nt
Organism: Mus caroli (Ryukyu mouse)
Lineage: Eukaryota; Metazoa; Chordata; Mammalia; Rodentia; Muridae
Source: RefSeq, a predicted model, not a curated record